GAUUGGAACCCAACGCCUUGUACCCGAAUAUAAUAAAGGUGACGACCAGCAGCAGUUCUCUUCAUGUAGUAGGGAUUUUGCUUUCAUCUUUCACGUUAAUGGAAAGGUGAUUAUUAUCAAUAUCUUACUAAGUUCAAAACAGAUCGAGAAAGAAAGGAGAUAGUUGACCAGUCAUUGAAGAGAUAUGAGGCAUGUUUAUUUCUACAACUUUCAUUUACAUAAACUAAUUGAUUUGAUUUUUACUCGUCAACUAUAUUGCUUGAUGUGUCCUUUGCCGAAUUCAUGAUAGACUGCUUCAAGCAUUGCAAAUGUAAAACUACCAUCAACUCAUGUAAUCCAUCUUGGCCAUGCUUCCCACUUUUUUGUCUUAAACUAUGAGAUUAUGAAUUCUCCAUAAAGGUAAAAGUAGUUUUUUCUUGAAUUAAUUCUGUAUCAAUGACUAGGACUUGCCACUUGGCUAAGGCUAGUAUAGAUCUAGUUUUUGUGCUUAUUGAAAACGCAUGGUGUACCUUACAUCAGAAAUGAUAGACACCUAAGAAUGCCAUACUUUUUUGUACCAACAACACCUCCUUUGUAGUUUUACAUAUCAACUACCCAGUAACGUGGCCUAUUUACCCAUAUCCUCAGCUUUAUAUUUAUCAAAUGUAGGAAUUAUGCUCCCUUUUAGAUGAAAUAUGUUAAUUUCAUGCUCAAAUAAUGCAUAGACGUACUCUGGAAUACUUUUAUGUAAGUGAAUAGAACUACAAAGGUGAAAAAUAUAAACAAGUCGCACUAGCCCCUGAGGUAAAAUGAGAUAGCCACCUCACCUCGAAGUUUUAUGGAAUUAGUCUUCCAACUAUAUUAGAGUCAAUUAACUUCGUCGCUAGGUUGGUGAACAUUUUGAUUUGUUUACAAAUUGUUGAAGUAUGAAUUCUCAAGUCUUAACAUUUUGAUUUGUCAUGCAUAUAGUAUAAAAUCUAGUUGGAUAAUUGUCUGGUUUAAAGUUUAGUUGGAUAAUUGUGUGGCUAUCCUGUAGCAAAGA
Long non-coding RNA from Momordica charantia (bitter melon), 1021 nucleotides. RefSeq lists it as uncharacterized. The record is from RefSeq and is a predicted model, not a curated record. NCBI's taxonomy places the organism in Eukaryota, Viridiplantae, Streptophyta, Magnoliopsida, Cucurbitales, Cucurbitaceae.